CAGAGAACCUCACAGAGAGCUGGGCUGCAUCCCACCUCCCGGACCCAUCAACUGAGUUUGCUCUGAACUAACAACAGUGCAUUUUGUAAGGUCUGCAGCUGGUUCUUGGGGAGACCUCAGAGUCAGUCUCUUCACCACCCCCAAAAUAAUUGGGGGGUGGGGUGGAGUUGCCUAGGCUAAAUCCCGCUUUUCAAGGAAGCAAGAUUUGAGUGGGAUCAUCCUGCAUUAUUGUGUGAGAGAAGCAGAAGCUCCAGAGGAGGGAAACCAGCCAGACCCUGAGAAAGGGGUCCAGAUGGGAGGGAGGAAGGAAGUGGCCAGGUCCUGUGGGUGGAGAGAGGGAAGGGAGGCAGCUGCUGGCAUAGAGUGAGCAUCAGAGGGACAUCCCCAAGGCAACAUACUGGCCACACUUGAGCUGUGGUGAGAAAUCCCAAACUCAGCAAAAGGAGGAGAACACGUUGGGGGAGAGGCGAGGAUGAGGAAGUCAUUCUGGGUGGUGACGCCACAGGUCCAGUGGAGACAGCAGCCUGGACUCCUUACCUCUGAGAAUCCCAAGCUGGGUGGCCCUGUCUCCACCAUGGGCUCCAGACUCCUCUGCUGUGUGGUCCUCUGCCUCCUGGGAGCAGGCACCUUGGACACAGCUGUUUUCCAGACUCCAAAGUAUCUCAUCAUACAGACAAGAAAUAAGAGGUCCCUAAAAUGUGAGCAAAAGCUGAGCCAUGACUCUAUGUACUGGUAUAAGCAAGGCUUCAAACAAUUGCUUGAGAUUAUGUUUAUCUACAAUAACAAGGAGCUCAUUCUAAAUGAAACAGUUCCACGUCGCUUCUUACCUGAAUCUCCUGACAAAGCUCAUUUAUAUCUUCACAUCGACUCCCUGGAGCCAGGCGACUCUGCUGUGUAUUUCUGUGCCAGCAGUUAAGACACAGCCCGCAGAGUCACCAGCUCCCUGUGCAAAAACCCUGGUCUAGGCAGGAAGCUGUGGGACAAGAUGUUUGUGCAACUCAAGGCUCCAUUAACACCGUGAACCUCAGUCUGCAGUACAGCUGGCCAGUACACCCCAUGGAGCAGGACUGCCUCUAUACACACAGAGGUCUUACAGAAUUCUGACCUCUCAGCUAGAGCAGGGGGUUCCAUGAAAUUCCCUGAAGCACUCAGGGUUGCAUGAACAAGAAAGGACCCUGUCUGAUGCGCUGAAGAUCUUAACUGAUGGAAGAAGCCAUUCCUUGCCUUUCUCUGCUGUACACAUCGGUACAUGUUGUACAUAACAUUAUGAUUGAAAGCACACUAUUUGCUAAGAAUUUUUGAUGAGCAAAAGCCUAAAGGAAGGUGAAGAUAAAAUUUCUAGGACCAAAAGGAAAUUCAGAUGAUCAAUGAGUUCACUGCUCAGUGGAAAAUUAUUCAAUGACGCAUGAAAAUACAUGGAGCCAGGUGUGUGGUUAGGCCAUUUAAGAAGCCUCUUCUCAGAGAUCCUGUCUGGUGCAGCAGAAAUGAAUCCAACUAGGAACCAUGAGGUUGAGGGUUCGACCCCUGGCCUC
This is a non-coding RNA of Sus scrofa (pig), 1532 nucleotides long. NCBI's taxonomy places the organism in Eukaryota, Metazoa, Chordata, Mammalia, Artiodactyla, Suidae. The record is from the annotation of a RefSeq genome assembly.